GACGAACGCUGGCGGCGUGCUUAACACAUGCAAGUCGAACGAUGACGACCGAGCUUGCUCGGUCUGAUUAGUGGCGAACGGGUGAGUAACACGUGAGCAACCUGCCCUUCACUCUGGGAUAACCUCGGGAAAUCGGGGCUAAUACCGGAUAUGAGCUCCUGUCGCAUGGCGGGUGUUGGAAAGUUUUUCGGUGAAGGAUGGGCUCGCGGCCUAUCAGUUUGUUGGUGAGGUAGUGGCUCACCAAGGCGAUGACGGGUAGCCGGCCUAAGAGGGCGACCGGCCACACUGGGACUGAGACACGGCCCGGACUCCUACGGGAGGCAGCAGUGGGGAAUAUUGCACAAUGGGCGAAAGCCUGAUGCAGCGACGCCGCGUGAGGGAUGACGGCCUUCGGGUUGUAAACCUCUUUCAGCAGGGAAGAAGCGAAAGUGACGGUACCUGCAGAAGAAGCGCCGGCUAACUACGUG
This 467-nucleotide ribosomal RNA is filed under the name uncultured bacterium. RNAcentral describes it as "partial 16S ribosomal RNA". It matches the Rfam family "Bacterial small subunit ribosomal RNA", at positions 28 to 507 of the family's 1533-position model. The record is from RNAcentral.